Molecule: non-coding RNA, 78 nt
Organism: Methanosarcina mazei
Lineage: Archaea; Methanobacteriati; Methanobacteriota; Methanomicrobia; Methanosarcinales; Methanosarcinaceae
Source: Rfam
UCGAGCCGGAUGAAUUGAAAAAUUCUUGUCCGGUUCCUAGAAGACGGGGCAGGGAGAAAUCCCACCCUGUUAUUCGAC